Molecule: long non-coding RNA, 2033 nt
Organism: Canis lupus familiaris (dog)
Lineage: Eukaryota; Metazoa; Chordata; Mammalia; Carnivora; Canidae
Exons: 2
Source: RefSeq, a predicted model, not a curated record
GUUCUGCGAAAGAACAGGCCCGGUUGAGCGGGACGCAGCGCCUUGGGGGGCUGCCCAUGGGCGAGGCCGCCCCGACUCCCAAGGGGAGCCCAUCCUAGCGGCUCCGGGGAGCCUUGGCCAUACCCCAAGGCGCCAGGAAUCAUUACCAGGAAACGCUUCUCAAGGGGCUGUGAGGCUGUGCCAAGGCUCUGCUAUGGGGAGGGGAGGCCUCCUAUGGCUCCCCUAGAUUCCAGGGGCCCCUUAACCUAGGCAGGCCCCUCGUUCACUCAGCCACUAAGCACAGAAAGGUUUAAGGGACACCGUGUGUCCUUAGCUCAUCCCAUUAUUCAGGGCAGUGGCACACGUACCUGAGGGAUGCAGUCCUGAGAACUUGGCCCCUUGGGGACAGUUCCCAUCUUAUAGCUUUAUCAGAAAGGAGGGUACCUUGGAGAAGACCACUCAGGACCCAGGCAGCUCCAGCCACCAGAUGACAGCCCUUCACUUGUGCCACCCUGGCCCAGUUCAUCUCAAAACAGACUCAUCUGGCCAAGCGCCAGCAUUUCAGCUCAUCACAGGGGAGGAUUAGAAAGGACUAGAGGAAUUUGGUGCUCUCAGCAAUUGGGGAUGACCUCCCCACACCAGAUUCUUCCAGAAAACAUAAAAUGUCAGUGUUUAUAUUCAGGAAAACCUGUGCGAAAAUCACCAUGUACUCCUAUUUUAACUAUUUUCAAGUUCAAAUUUUUAAUCUGAGCUGAUAAGGUGUUACUGAAAUCCUUCAUGCUCUGCGUCCCCAAGUAUUGCCUGGGAGCAGACUUAAAACAAGUCUAGAACCUCCAGGAAGGUUAACACUCCAGAAUUUUGUUCACCAUCACAUCCCCAGGGCCUGACACUCAGUAGGUUGCUGAUACCAUCAGGAGAACAAAUUCUUUGCAGCCUUGUGCACUUCUGCUUAUAUCCUAUAAAACAAAAGGCUGGACCACAGAGUUAAAUUGAAAGAGCAUCCACUGUCCUGCAGAGUGUGGAACAGGGGCUUCUCAACUCUUAAAUUCAGUGACUUUCCAGAAGAAUGUCACCCCUGCUGCUGCUGCUACCCUAGUUGGGGCCAGAAUGUCAGCUCCCUGAGUCUUCACGGUUUCAUUUGCAUACUCCUGAGACCUGGCAUCAUGCCAGGCGCAUAGCAGGACCCACUAAAUGCCAAUGGGAAGGGCAUAUGUGAAUAUAUUCUAAUAUCAGGAGAUACUUAGAUUCUACUAAGUAUAUAUAAACACCUCUGUUCUGGGGCACCUGGGUGGCUCAGUGGUUGGACAUCUGUCUUUGGCUCAGGUCCUGAUCCCGGGGACCUGGGAUUAAGUCCUGCAUUGGGCUCCCUGCAGGGAGCCUGCUUUUCCCUAUGUCUCUGCUUCUGUGUGUCUCGAAUGAAUGAAUGAAUAGAUAAAAUCUUAAAAAAAACAAAACACCUCUGUUCUUACAGACCUAGGAAACUAAACAUUAACUGGAUGAAUAAAUGGAAUUUGGGAGUUGAAAAGGACUUCCCUCAGCUGUCAACUCCAAACCUCUUUUCACAAGUGAUGAGAGGCCCAGAAAGGACUCGUCAUCUGCCUGGCCUCAUGAAUUUUGAAAUCCAUUAUUCCAACAAAGAUUUGACUCUGAUGCUCAGGAAGGGGAUGGAACCUGCAGACAGAGACUCAUGUCCAGGGUCUGGGACCAGCCAUGGACCUGGAACACUCUAUUUCGUACCCAUUGUCUUCCGCACCAUCUGGAUAGAAGUCAGGAGAGCAGGAGGCUCUGCAAUGUUAGUGAACAGACCAGUGAGACAACAAAUUCUUUUAUUUGCCAGCGAAGAGCAACGCAGGUAUCCAGAGAUAGGACGCUACUCUCUAAUCUGACCUCCUGGCUGGGGUAAUGCCACAAAGGCUUCGUUGUUCACUGGCUGUAGGCACAGUAGCUUCUCAAGGAAAAAUAGGGUUUUUCUACAAAAAAAAAAACUUAUGUGAGGUUGACUGGGGAGAGGACAACUAGAAUGGAAACAGUACCAGGACACUCAGCUUCCCUAA